GGGGAUGAUAAGUUUCGAUGAGGGGCUAUCUAAAAUAAGCAGGCUGAGUUGUUAGGCCUCAUAAAACUAACAAAAAAUAAGUGAUAACUUAUUUCAAAAACAACCCGCUUUAGCAUUAGCUUAAGCGCGGCAUCUGGCCCGCUGAUUCUCGCUAGGCGGAACCGGGUGUCAACAACCAGCGAGAUAGAUAGUUCUUCAAGGAUCCCUGAAAACUAUCAAAACAAUCGGAUCCGCAGUAUAGAAAUUUUGUCCAGUUUUAAUCCUAUACUUUUUCAAAAUUGGAAUAAGCCUGUAGAAUUAUUUUAAAAAAUCUCUUCAGACGCGGGUUCGAUUCCCGCCAUCUCCACAA
RNAcentral lists this transfer-messenger RNA (349 nucleotides) under Candidatus Wildermuthbacteria bacterium. It matches the Rfam family "transfer-messenger RNA". Rfam says of the family: Bacterial tmRNA, also known as 10Sa RNA or SsrA, is named for its dual tRNA and mRNA-like properties. Lineage: Bacteria; Candidatus Wildermuthiibacteriota. The record is from RNAcentral.